GUAUUUAAGGAUCGAAUUCCACAAAGUUCUUUUCUUCAAACAAUAAGUUCAAUGUCAAGAUUAAGCUAGAAGGGUAUGAUCGAAAUAAUAAGAAAACAAAGGAAGAAAACAGUAGAUUGUUUCGUUGUAAACGAUUAAAUAAAAAGCUAGGAACAGGGUAUUCUCAUGAAACUAUUGGUUAGUAGAUCUAAUGAAAGCUAGGUUGUUAUCGAACCAUUCUUAAACUCAAACUCUAAUUAUGGAAUAACUGGUGGUGUUCCGCAAAACUCCCUAUAAUUAUAGCUAAGAAUAACCGGAGAAUUCGAGAGAUUAUUAACCUAAAUAUGCAUUCUUAACGAGUUCGAUUGUUCACCUUAGUAGAUAGGCCAAUUUUUAUUACACACCUAUAAACCAGGCUCAUCAAAUAAUAGAUCCAACUACAGAUACCUAUGGUGGACAUAUCUAUUGUCUGGAUUCAAGAUCUAGUUAAUUACUCUAGAUCUAGCAUUAAGCAUAAUCAAAGAUGAAGAAUUCUACAGAUAACCUAGCAAAGGGGAAAAA
Molecule: small RNA, 540 nt
Filed under: Arabidopsis thaliana (thale cress)
Lineage: Eukaryota; Viridiplantae; Streptophyta; Magnoliopsida; Brassicales; Brassicaceae
Description: ATSL090350
Source: RNAcentral